Long non-coding RNA from Panicum virgatum (switchgrass), 690 nucleotides. RefSeq lists it as uncharacterized. The record is from RefSeq and is a predicted model, not a curated record. NCBI's taxonomy places the organism in Eukaryota, Viridiplantae, Streptophyta, Magnoliopsida, Poales, Poaceae. The transcript has 3 exons.
UUCUAUUCUACUUUAUUCUUUCAGCUUCGAUAGAUCAGUCACCCUCCAUCAGGAACAGGUGGAUUGAGUCCAAUCUUUUACUGGUCCCAGGUGAACUUGAUAAACAUAUGGUCCAUUGUGAAGGGAUCUUGUUUUGCGGUAAGAUAACUUCUAUAUUGUGCUAUUUUUUUAAUGCUCUGUGAGCAAAUGCUCUUUGAACAGAGAUAAGCUUGCUGAUUGGAUAAGAUUAGCUGAUGGACUGAUAGAUGCUUGUUUCAGAUAUCUGAUUGUGUUUGUAAUGGCUUCUUCACCUAGCUGUUUGCCUGUUCCAGUGGCCAUUACAAAGAAUUAUGCUGAGUGUCAUUUUUGGUUUUUGGAGUUGACAGAAGCCAUGGCUCAAAAUUUCAAGCUCCUGUGGCAAUGCAGAAUUACUGAAUGGCAGAUUAUAGAAUGCAUGUGAGUGCUUGGUCCCAGCCUUUGGGACGUGUGGAAUUCAAUGGGGUAGGCGUAAGUGUCUUCCAUUCUUGAGAAGCUCCAUUCUAAAGGGUGAGCUGAAAUUAUCUAUACUCAACCGAACAUCCUUAAUAGAUAUAUUCUACUUCCUGUUGCUCGGUUCAUCCUGAACGCCACCCGUGGCAAAACCAUGGUCAUUUCCUUUGAGAAAUAUUUAUCUUGCUAGGCAUCGAUGAUCUUCAGGCUUUUUGUAGCUUU